CACUAUCACCGAGAAUAGUUUAGCAUCAUUGGGAAUGGUUUAGUAUUAGAGAUUGUGGAUGGUACGUUUGGACUUUUACCUUUGCCGUAAAAUUGAUUAUAACCUAGCCGAAGUUUCCAUAAUAAGGCAGAUCAUCCCUUUCUAUGGGCGAUAUCUAAUCUCACCUUAUCUAAGACAAAAGAUGACCGACAUUUUACGGGCCGCA
RNAcentral lists this long non-coding RNA (205 nucleotides) under Elaeis guineensis (African oil palm). RNAcentral describes it as "long non-coding RNA (EGUI_LNC059951)". Lineage: Eukaryota; Viridiplantae; Streptophyta; Magnoliopsida; Arecales; Arecaceae. The record is from RNAcentral.